ACGAUAUAGUGGCAGACGGGUGAGUAACGCGUGGGAACGUACCUUUCACUACGGAAUAGCUCUGGGAAACUGGUGGUAAUACCGUAUACGCCCUCCGGGGGAAAGAUUUAUCGGUGAAAGAUCGGCCCGCGUUGGAUUAGCUAGUUGGUGAGGUAAUGGCUCACAAAGGCGACGAUCCAUAGCUGGUCUGAGAGGAUGAUCAGCCACACUGGGACUGAGACACGGCCCAGACUCCUACGGGAGGCAGCAGUGGGGAAUCUUGCACAAUGGGCGAAAGCCUGAUGCAGCCAUGCCGCGUGAAUGAUGAAGGCCUUAGGGUUGUAAAAUUCUUUCGUCAGGGAUGAUAAUGACCGUACCUGAAGAAGAAGCCCCGGCUAACUUCGUGCCAGCAGCCGCGGUAAUACGAAGGGGGCUAGCGUUGUUCGGAACUACUGGGCGUAAAGCGCACGUAGGCGGACUUUUAAGUCAGGUGUGAAAUCCCGGGGCUCAACCUCGGAACUGCAUUUGAAACUGGGAGUCUUGAGAUCAGGAGAGGUUAGCGGAAUACCGAGUGUAGAGGUGAAAUUCGUAGAUAUUCGGUGGAACACCAGUGGCGAAGGCGGCUAACUGGACUGAUACUGACGCUGAGGUGCGAAAGUGUGGGGAGCAAACCGGAUUAGAUACCCUGGUGGUCUACACCGUAAACGAUGAGAGCUAGUUGUUGGCAGGCAUGCCUGUCGGUGACGCCGCUAACCCAUUAAGCUCUCCGCCUGGGGAGUACGGCCGCAAGGUUAAAACUUCAACAAAUUGACGGGGGCCCGCACCAACCGGGGA
This 813-nucleotide ribosomal RNA is filed under the name uncultured Alphaproteobacteria bacterium. RNAcentral's name for it is "bacterial SSU rRNA". It matches the Rfam family "Bacterial small subunit ribosomal RNA", at positions 87 to 936 of the family's 1533-position model. The record is from RNAcentral. Lineage: Bacteria; Pseudomonadati; Pseudomonadota; Alphaproteobacteria.